GACGAACGCUGGCGGCGUGCUUAACACAUGCAAGUCGAACGGAAAGGCCCUGCUUUUGUGGGGUGCUCGAGUGGCGAACGGGUGAGUAACACGUGAGUAACCUGCCCUUGACUUUGGGAUAAAUUCAGGAAACUGGGGCUAAUACCGGAUAGGAGCUCCUGCUGCAUGGUGGGGGUUGGAAAGUUUCGGCGGUUGGGGAUGGACUCGCGGCUUAUCAGCUUGUUGGUGGGGUAGUGGCUUACCAAGGCUUUGACGGGUAGCCGGCCUGAGAGGGUGACCGGCCACAUUGGGACUGAGAUACGGCCCAGACUCCUACGGGAGGCAGCAGUGGGGAAUAUUGCACAAUGGGCGGAAGCCUGAUGCAGCAACGCCGCGUGCGGGAUGACGGCCUUCGGGUUGUAAACCGCUUUCGCCUGUGACGAAGCGUGAGUGACGGUAAUGGGUAAAGAUGCACCGGCUAACUACGUG
This 468-nucleotide ribosomal RNA is filed under the name uncultured bacterium. Its description in RNAcentral is "partial 16S ribosomal RNA". It matches the Rfam family "Bacterial small subunit ribosomal RNA", at positions 28 to 507 of the family's 1533-position model. The record is from RNAcentral.